RNAcentral lists this ribosomal RNA (495 nucleotides) under uncultured bacterium. RNAcentral describes it as "partial 16S ribosomal RNA". It matches the Rfam family "Bacterial small subunit ribosomal RNA", at positions 28 to 507 of the family's 1533-position model. The record is from RNAcentral.
GACGAACGCUGGCGGCGUGCCUAAUACAUGCAAGUAGAACGCUGAAGGAGGAGCUUGCUUCUCCGGAUGAGUUGCGAACGGGUGAGUAACGCGUAGGUAACCUGCCUGGUAGCGGGGGAUAACUAUUGGAAACGAUAGCUAAUACCGCAUAAGAGUAGAUGUCGCAUGACAUUUGCUUAAAAGGUGCAACUGCACCACUACCAGAUGGACCUGCGUUGUAUUAGCUAGUUGGUGAGGUAACGGCUCACCAAGGCAACGAUACAUAGCCGACCUGAGAGGGUGAUCGGCCACACUGGGACUGAGACACGGCCCAGAAUCCUACGGGAGGCAGCAGUAGGGAAUCUUUGGCAAUGGACGGAAGUCUGACCGAGCAACGCCGCGGGAGUGAAGAAGGUUUUCGGAUCGUAAAGCUCUGUUGUAAGAGGAGAACGAGUGUGAGAGUGGAAAGUUCACACUGUGACGGUAUCUUACCAGAAAGGGACGGCUAACUACGUG